RNAcentral lists this long non-coding RNA (250 nucleotides) under Neodiprion lecontei (redheaded pine sawfly). RNAcentral describes it as "uncharacterized LOC124295091". Lineage: Eukaryota; Metazoa; Arthropoda; Insecta; Hymenoptera; Diprionidae. The record is from RNAcentral.
AUUUAGCAAUGAUGUGAAAUGCAGUAACCCGUUCAAUCGAUUUCUUAGAAAUUACUGAAAAUUAGAAUAACCCCUACAGUGAACGAAACUUACAGUGUAAAUAGUGCGUCGCUUCACCAUGCAACCUUGGACACUACGAGAACUACUACAUGUAAAGUGUGGAGCAACCCGGAGGAGAGAUGAGCAGAGACAUCCGAGUAACUUCUCCACUACUCGGCAACGUUGGUGAGUUUGCAUGUGUUUAGGUUAC